GGCUGUUUAGCUCAGCUAGUUAGAGUGUGCUACUGGUAACACUGAGGUCAUGGGUUCAAUCCCCAUACGGUCA
This 73-nucleotide transfer RNA is filed under the name Poecilia formosa (Amazon molly). It matches the Rfam family "tRNA". Rfam says of the family: Transfer RNA (tRNA) molecules are approximately 80 nucleotides in length. Their secondary structure includes four short double-helical elements and three loops (D, anti-codon, and T loops). Further hydrogen bonds mediate the characteristic L-shaped molecular structure. tRNAs have two regions of fundamental functional importance: the anti-codon, which is responsible for specific mRNA codon recognition, and the 3' end, to which the tRNAs corresponding amino acid is attached (by aminoacyl-tRNA synthetases). tRNAs cope with the degeneracy of the genetic code in two manners: having more than one tRNA (with a specific anti-codon) for a particular amino acid; and 'wobble' base-pairing, i.e. permitting non-standard base-pairing at the 3rd anti-codon position. Lineage: Eukaryota; Metazoa; Chordata; Actinopteri; Cyprinodontiformes; Poeciliidae. The record is from Rfam by way of RNAcentral.